UUUCAAAGUAGAAUGUGAAGAAAAGAAGAGAAAUCAAGAGAAAAUUCAAGGUUGAAAGAGAGUGAAUAGUAACCAAGGGGUUGGAAAUUUAAAGGUAUGUUAGGAGUUUUUGUUGUAGGGAUAUUUCUUAUAAUUUUAUGUGAAUAUUUAUGAGAAAUAUUGUAUUAAGUUGAUUUAUUGGUUUUUUUUUUAUGAAGAAGAAGUGGAAGGGAAAGGAAAAGAAAAGGAAAAUUAGGGAAUUUUAAGCUUGUGUAAGAUCUUGGGAAGGUUUGUGCUCAACUCUAUUUCAAUAAAUUCAAGAAAUUGUUAUUUAUGUUCUAUUUGAAAUUUUACUACCCUAAUAGAAAAAUCAAGUUGUUGUCCCUUAAAGCAACCCAAGAGGGGGGUGAAUUGGGUUUAUAAAAAAUUUAAAGGGAAAAGCACAAAUUAGAAGGCAAUGAGGAAGAAGAUAAUCAACACAA
RNAcentral lists this long non-coding RNA (461 nucleotides) under Manihot esculenta (cassava). RNAcentral's name for it is "long non-coding RNA (MESC_LNC000848)". The record is from RNAcentral. Lineage: Eukaryota; Viridiplantae; Streptophyta; Magnoliopsida; Malpighiales; Euphorbiaceae.